Molecule: ribosomal RNA, 483 nt
Filed under: Aerococcus urinae
Lineage: Bacteria; Bacillati; Bacillota; Bacilli; Lactobacillales; Aerococcaceae
Description: bacterial SSU rRNA
Rfam family: Bacterial small subunit ribosomal RNA
Source: RNAcentral
AUACAUGCAAGUCGAGCGAACCGACGAAGUGCUUGCACUUCUGACGUUAGCGGCGGACGGGUGAGUAACACGUAAGGAACCUACCGAUAAGCGGGGGACAACAUCCGGAAACGGGUGCUAAUACCGCAUAGGAAACACCACCUCAUGGUGGUGUUUGGAAAGACGGCUUUGCUGUCACUUAUCGAUGGCCUUGCGGUGCAUUAGCUCGUUGGUGGGGUAACGGCCUACCAAGGCAAUGAUGCAUAGCCGACCUGAGAGGGUAAUCGGCCACAUUGGGACUGAGACACGGCCCAAACUCCUACGGGAGGCAGCAGUAGGGAAUCUUCCGCAAUGGGCGCAAGCCUGACGGAGCAACGCCGCGUGAGUGAAGAAGGUUUUCGGAUCGUAAAGCUCUGUUGUAAGAGAAGAACAAAUUGGAGAGUAACUGCUCCAGUCUUGACGGUAUCUUACCAGAAAGCCACGGCUAACUACGUGCCAGCAGCC